CUCUCUGGGCUCUCUCUCUCUCUCUGGGCUCUCUGGGCUCUCUUUCUAGCAGUCCCUGCCAGCCCAUUGCGGUACUUCAACCUAGGACCCGACUCUUUCAUUUCACGUGUCUUCAGAAAUUCCAUCGCAGUGGAUAAUAUGGAUGUAAACUAGCCCUACCUCUCCUCUGUCUCUCUCUAGCUGAGUCCAUGACAGAGGGCUGGGGGUUGAAGUGGUGGUGGGGUUAAUCUCUUACAGCAGAGUGAAUGUCUUGUAUUUAUUCAUGUGUGUACAUUUUUAUUAGUAGUAAUUUAUUUAUUUGUAUAUCCCUGCGGCGCGGGUCCGAAUGUGUGUUUUUUUGGCUUGUGGCGGCGGGGUCCAGAUCCCAUCUGUUCUGGAUGGGAGAGAGAUACACAAACUGAAGAACAAAACACUCUAAAUGUCUUCCUAUAGGGGUUACUACUACUGCCUAUGUUUUAGCCUCAUACCUCCAUAUCUCCACCGCAUCCUCUCUCUCUCUCUCUCCCUUUCUUCCCCGUCUGACACUAACAGAAUACUGUUCAGUUCUGCUCCACUGCCCCAGUGAUAGUGAUGGCUGCUCCACUGCCCCAGUGAUAGUGAUGGCUGCUCCACUGCCCCAGUGAUAGUGAUGGCUGUCCCACUGCCCAGUGCCCAGUGAUAGUGAUGGCUGCUCCACUGCCCCAUGAUAGUGAUGGCUGCUCCACUGCCCCAGUGAUAGUGAUGGCUGCUCCACUGCCCCAGUGAUAGUGAUGGCUGCUCCACUGCCCCAGUGAUAGUGAUGGCUGUCCCACUGCCCAGUGCCCAGUGAUAGUGAUGGCUGCUCCACUGCCCAGUGAUAGUGAUGGCUGCUCCACUGCUCCAGUGAUAGUGAUGGCUGCUCCACUGCCCCAGUGAUAGUGAUGGCUGCUCCACUGCCCCAGUGAUAGUGAUGGCUACUCCACUGCCCCAGUGAUAGUGAUGGCUGCUCCACUGCCCAGUGAUAAUGAUAGCUGCUCCACUGCCCAGUGAUAGUGAUGGCUGCUCCACUGCCCCAGUGAUAGUGAUGGCUGCUCCACUGGCCAGCGACAGUGAUAGCUGUCCUGUCUUCUUCUCUACUUCAUAGCAUUCCAUGUUGGUGACGGACCGCUGUGUUCUGUCUACUGGACCAAGCUCUAGUUCUAGAAGCACUAACCCGCUCUGGAGAGCGAGAGUGGGGUGUUCCAAAUGGCAUCAUUUUCCCUCUAUAGUGUACCACUUUUAACCUGUGCCCCUAUGCACUGUAUAGGAAACAGGGUGUCAUUUGGGACAUACACAUGGGGGUCUUAAUGACGUCCGUUUGAUGUUUUCUGUCAUCAACUCUGGUGAGGGACUAAAACAGCUGAUAUAGGGACUAAAACAGCUGAUAUAGGGACUAAAACAGCUGAUAUAGGGUCUAAAACAGAUGAUAUAGGGACUAAAACAGCUGAUAUAGGGACUAAAACAGCUGAUAUAUGGACUAAAACAGCUGAUAUAGGGACUAAAACAGCUGAUAUAGGGACUAAAACAGCUGAUAUAGGGCCUAAAACAGCUGAUAUAGGGACUAAAACAGCUGAUAUAGGGUCUAAAACAGCUGAUAUAGGGCCUAAAACAGCUGAUAUAUGGACUAAAACAGCUGAUAUAUGGACUAAAACAGAUGAUAUAGG
This 1661-nucleotide long non-coding RNA is filed under the name Salmo salar (Atlantic salmon). RNAcentral's name for it is "lncRNA (ENSSSAG00000083439.1)". Lineage: Eukaryota; Metazoa; Chordata; Actinopteri; Salmoniformes; Salmonidae. The record is from RNAcentral.